Molecule: ribosomal RNA, 277 nt
Filed under: uncultured prokaryote
Description: partial 16S ribosomal RNA
Rfam family: Bacterial small subunit ribosomal RNA
Source: RNAcentral
UACGUAGGGGGCUAGCGUUAUCCGGAAUUACUGGGUGUAAAGGGAGCGUAGGCGGCAUGGUAAGUAAGGUGUGAAAGCCUUGGGCUUAACCCGAGGAUUGCACUUUAAACUAUCAAGCUAGAGUACAGGAGAGGUAAGUGGAAUUCCUAGUGUAGCGGUGAAAUGCGUAGAUAUUAGGAGGAACACCAGUUGCGAAGGCGGCUCUCUGGACUGUAACUGACACUGAGGCACGAAAGCGUGGGGAGCAAACAGGAUUAGAUACCCUGGUAGUCCCUGA